RNAcentral lists this ribosomal RNA (465 nucleotides) under uncultured bacterium. RNAcentral's name for it is "partial 16S ribosomal RNA". It matches the Rfam family "Bacterial small subunit ribosomal RNA", at positions 338 to 795 of the family's 1533-position model. The record is from RNAcentral.
CCUACGGGAGGCUGCAGUAGGGAAUCUUCCACAAUGGGCGAAAGCCUGAUGGAGCAACGCCGCGUGGGUGAAGACGGUCUUCGGAGCGUAAAACCCUGUUUUUAGAGAAGAAAGUGCGUGCGAGUAACUGUUCACGUUUCGACGGUAUCUAACCAGAAAGCCACGGCUAACUACGUGCUAGCAGCAGCGGGAAUACGUAGGUGGCAAGCGUUAUUCGGUUUGAUUGGGCGUAAAGGGAACGCAGGCGGUCUUUUAAGUCUGAUGUGAAAGCCUUCGGCUUAACCGGAGUAGGUCAUUGGAGACUGGGAGACUUGAGUGCAGAAGAGGAGAGUGGAACUCGAUGUGUAGCGGUGAAAUGCGUAGAUAUAUGGAAGAACACCAGUGGCGAAAGCAGCUCUCUGGUCUGUAACUGACGCUGAGGUUCGAAAGCGUGGGUAGCAAACAGGAUUAGAUACCCUUGUAGUC